This 253-nucleotide ribosomal RNA is filed under the name uncultured bacterium. Its description in RNAcentral is "partial 16S ribosomal RNA". It matches the Rfam family "Bacterial small subunit ribosomal RNA", at positions 524 to 776 of the family's 1533-position model. The record is from RNAcentral.
UACGGAGGGUGCAAGCGUUAAUCGGAAUUACUGGGCGUAAAGCGUGCGCAGGCGGUUAUGUAAGACAGUUGUGAAAUCCCCGGGCUCAACCUGGGAACUGCAUCUGUGACUGCAUAGCUAGAGUACGGUAGAGGGGGAUGGAAUUCCGCGUGUAGCAGUGAAAUGCGUAGAUAUGCGGAGGAACACCGAUGGCGAAGGCAAUCCCCUGGACCUGUACUGACGCUCAUGCACGAAAGCGUGGGGAGCAAACAGG